UACGGAGGGUGCAAGCGUUGUUCGGAAUUACUAGGCGUAAAGGGCGCGCAGGCUGUAGAUCAAGUCAGCUGUGAAAUGUCUGGGCUUAACCCGGGCAUGCGGUUGAAACUGAUGUACUGGAGUGCUGUAGAGGCAAGUGGAAUUCCCAGUGUAGCGGUGAAAUGCGUAGAUAUUGGGAAGAACACCGGUGGCGAAGGCGACUUGCUGGGCAGCAACUGACGCUGAGGCGCGAAAGCCAGGGGAGCAAACGGGAUUAGA
Molecule: ribosomal RNA, 258 nt
Filed under: uncultured prokaryote
Description: partial 16S ribosomal RNA
Rfam family: Bacterial small subunit ribosomal RNA
Source: RNAcentral